AUUGAACGCUGGCGGCAGGCCUAACACAUGCAAGUCGAACGAACCCUUCGGGGUUAGUGGCGGACGGGUGAGUAACACGUGGGAACGUACCUUUAGGUUCGGAACAACACAGGGAAACUUGUGCUAAUGCCGAAUGUGCCCUUCGGGGAAAGAUUUAUCGCCUUUAGAGCGGCCCGCGUCUGAUUAGCUUGUUGGUGAGGUAAAGGCUCACCAAGGCUUCGAUCAGUAGCUGGUCUGAGAGGAUGAUCAGCCACACUGGGACUGAGACACGGCCCAGACUCCUACGGGAGGCAGCAGUGGGGAAUCUUGCGCAAUGGGCGAAAGCCUGACGCAGCCAUGCCGCGUGAAUGAUGAAGGUCUUAGGAUUGUAAAAUUCUUUCACCGGGGAAGAUAAUGACGGUACCCGGAGAAGAAGCCCCGGCUAACUUCGUG
RNAcentral lists this ribosomal RNA (432 nucleotides) under uncultured bacterium. RNAcentral's name for it is "bacterial SSU rRNA". It matches the Rfam family "Bacterial small subunit ribosomal RNA", at positions 30 to 507 of the family's 1533-position model. The record is from RNAcentral.